AUUGAACGCUGGCGGCAUGCUUUACACAUGCAAGUCGAACGGUAACAGGUUAAGCUGACGAGUGGCGAACGGGUGAGUAAUGCAUCGGAACGUGCCCGGUCGUGGGGGAUAACGCAGCGAAAGCUGCGCUAAUACCGCAUACGAUCUGAGGAUGAAAGCGGGGGACCGUAAGGCCUCGCGCGAUCGGAGCGGCCGAUGUCAGAUUAGGUAGUUGGUGGGGUAAAGGCUCACCAAGCCGACGAUCUGUAGCUGGUCUGAGAGGACGACCAGCCACACUGGGACUGAGACACGGCCCAGACUCCUACGGGAGGCAGCAGUGGGGAAUUUUGGACAAUGGGCGCAAGCCUGAUCCAGCAAUGCCGCGUGCAGGAAGAAGGCCUUCGGGUUGUAAACGUGCUUUGUACGGAGCGAAAAGGUACUUCCCUAACUACGGAGGCUGAUGACGGUACCGUAAGAAUAAGACACCGGCUAACUACGUAGCCAGCAGCCGCGGUAA
RNAcentral lists this ribosomal RNA (496 nucleotides) under uncultured bacterium. RNAcentral describes it as "bacterial SSU rRNA". It matches the Rfam family "Bacterial small subunit ribosomal RNA", at positions 29 to 523 of the family's 1533-position model. The record is from RNAcentral.